GCAUUGCAGCAACGGUUCCCGUGCGAUCACCAAAGUUAAGUAACAUUGUGCUUGGCCAGUACCUAGAUGGGUGACCGCUUGGGAAUACCAGAUGCUGUAA
Molecule: non-coding RNA, 100 nt
Organism: Acanthosepion pharaonis
Lineage: Eukaryota; Metazoa; Mollusca; Cephalopoda; Sepiida; Sepiidae
Source: the annotation of a GenBank genome assembly